CACUCCUACGGGAGGCAGCAGUGGGGAAUUUUGGACAAUGGGCGAAAGCCUGAUCCAGCAAUGCCGCGUGAGUGAAGAAGGCCUUCGGGUUGUAAAGCUCUUUUGUCAGGGAAGAAACGGUGAAAGCUAAUAUCUUUUGCUAAUGACGGUACCUGAAGAAUAAGCACCGGCUAACUACGUGCCAGCAGCCGCGGUAAUACGUAGGGUGCAAGCGUUAAUCGGAAUUACUGGGCGUAAAGCGUGCGCAGGCGGUUUUGUAAGUCUGAUGUGAAAUCCCCGGGCUCAACCUGGGAAUUGCAUUGGAGACUGCAAGGCUAGAAUCUGGCAGAGGGGGGUAGAAUUCCACGUGUAGCAGUGAAAUGCGUAGAUAUGUGGAGGAACACCGAUGGCGAAGGCAGCCCCCUGGGUCAAGAUUGACGCUCAUGCACGAAAGCGUGGGGAGCAAACAGGAUUAGAAACCCUAGUAGUCCCAUGAU
This 476-nucleotide ribosomal RNA is filed under the name uncultured organism. RNAcentral's name for it is "partial 16S ribosomal RNA". It matches the Rfam family "Bacterial small subunit ribosomal RNA", at positions 334 to 801 of the family's 1533-position model. The record is from RNAcentral.